This 274-nucleotide ribosomal RNA is filed under the name uncultured bacterium. RNAcentral's name for it is "partial 16S ribosomal RNA". It matches the Rfam family "Archaeal small subunit ribosomal RNA", at positions 473 to 747 of the family's 1478-position model. The record is from RNAcentral.
AAACCAGCACCUCAAGUGGUCAGGAUGAUUAUUGGGCCUAAAGCAUCCGUAGCCGGCUCUGUAAGUUUUCGGUUAAAUCUGUACGCUUAACGUACAGGCUGCCGGGAAUACUGCAGAGCUAGGGAGUGGGAGAGGUAGACGGUACUCGGUAGGAAGGGGUAAAAUACUUUGAUCUAUUGAUGACCACCUGUGGCGAAGGCGGUCUACCAGAACACGUCCGACGGUGAGGGAUGAAAGCUGGGGGAGCAAACCGGAUUAGAAACCCGAGUAGUCC